Molecule: ribosomal RNA, 421 nt
Filed under: uncultured bacterium
Lineage: Bacteria
Description: bacterial SSU rRNA
Rfam family: Bacterial small subunit ribosomal RNA
Source: RNAcentral
CGGCAUGCCUAACACAUGCAAGUCGAACGCCCUCUUCGGAGGGAGUGGCGCACGGGUGCGUAACGCGUGGGAACCUGCCCUUAGGUUCGGAAUAACUCAGAGAAAUUUGAGCUAAUACCGGAUAAUGUCUUCGGACCAAAGAUUUAUCGCCUUUGGAUGGGCCCGCGUUGGAUUAGCUAGUUGGUGGGGUAAAGGCCUACCAAGGCGACGAUCCAUAGCUGGUCUGAGAGGAUGAUCAGCCACACUGGGACUGAGACACGGCCCAGACUCCUACGGGAGGCAGCAGUGGGGAAUAUUGGACAAUGGGCGAAAGCCUGAUCCAGCAAUGCCGCGUGAGUGAUGAAGGCCUUAGGGUUGUAAAGCUCUUUUACUGGGGAUGAUAAUGACAGUACCCAGAGAAUAAGCUCCGGCUAACUCCGUG